GACGAACGCUGGCGGUGUGCUUAACACAUGCAAGUCGAACGGUAAGGCCCUUUCGGGGGUACACGAGUGGCGCACGGGUGAGUAACACGUGAGUAACCUGCCCUCAUCUCUGGGAUAACAGUCGGAAACGGUUGCUAAUACUGGAUAUGAGCUUGCAAGGCAUCUUGUGGGUUGGAAAGAUUUUUUUGGUUGGGGAUGGACUCGCGGCCUAUCAGCUUGUUGGUGAGGUAGUGGCUCACCAAGGCUUCGACGGGUAGCCGGCCUGAGAGGGCGACCGGCCACAUUGGGACUGAGAUACGGCCCAAACGCCUACGGGAGGCAGCAGUGGGGAAUAUUGCACAAUGGACGGAAGUCUGAUGCAGCAACGCCGCGUGCGGGAUGACGGCCUUCGGGUUGUAAACCGCUUUCAAUUGUGACGAAGCUUUUUGUGACGGUAGCAGUAGAAGAAGCACCGGCUAACUACGUG
Molecule: ribosomal RNA, 466 nt
Filed under: uncultured bacterium
Lineage: Bacteria
Description: partial 16S ribosomal RNA
Rfam family: Bacterial small subunit ribosomal RNA
Source: RNAcentral